Long non-coding RNA from Amphiprion ocellaris (clown anemonefish), 2238 nucleotides. Lineage: Eukaryota; Metazoa; Chordata; Actinopteri; Pomacentridae. The record is from Ensembl.
GGGAGCUCAGCCAGUCUGGCAAACAAUCUUCAGAAGAGAGACACAAGGAAAGAACAAAGAAGAUCCAAGUCCACUCAUGGAUUCAGUCCAAAGACGCCAAUGAAAAGCUCAUACAGUCCUUCUGCUGGGACACAUGAACAUCUUCAUCAGAGGCUGAAGCAUCACUGCACACUUGGAGUGAACAGCAGUCAGAGAGUUUGAGACGAGAGAUUAAGGACAAUCAGAAACACUGCAGACAAGACCCACAAUAUAUGCAGCGGACAUGUCUGUUAACUCAACGUCCAACUAUCUCUACAUCUGUCCCACCAUUAAGGUCAGCCUGUACAUAUCCUAUAUCAUUACUGCACUGAGGACCAUCCUCCUCCUCCCUCUCUCCACCUUCAUCCUCUAUCUGGGUCACCAAAGAUGGAAGCAGCAUCAUUCCUCUAAAACAGUGACUCACUCUGACAUCUUCACCUACCAUGUGGCUGCCAUGGAGCUGCUCUGGAUCUUGGGGAGUUUCUUCUUCUAUGGUGGCCUGUACACUAACCAGUUAGUAGUGAUGACUGUAGGGGUGUUUACUUGUUCCAGCACUCUGUUUGGAGAGUUAUACUUUCACGUCUUGACCUGUGUGGAGCGCUACCUGGCUGUGGUUCAUCCCAUCAUCUAUCGGGGGCUGAGAAAUGCUCAUGGGGUCAGAAUCAGAAACAUCUGUAUUGGAUGUGUUUGGCUGCUGAGCUUUGGACUGACCGGGGGUUUGACCAUAAGCUUGCCUAACUACAAUGUGAUCUCAUCUUUGUGCUUUUUGGUUUUCUCCAUAAUCAUCAUAUCAUUCUGCAGCCUCUCAGUUCUCUGUGUUCUGAUUCGUCCAGGUCCAGGGGAAGGGGGCAGGGAAAAGGAGCGAGUUGACCAAUCAAAGCAGAGAGCUUUCUACACCAUCACAGUUAUAUCAGUCACAGUGUGGUUGUGGUUUGUUGGCCUCCUUCUUUCCCUGGCAAUGGAGACAUCACCUCUGUUGAGCCAUCAUCUCGCCUGUGUGUUGCCACUUCUUGUCAUCUGGUUGAACCUUCCCAGCAGUUUGGUGUCUCCUCUGCUGUAUCUGCACAGGGCUGGAAAACUGUCAUGGUGCUUUAGAAACAAGUAGUAAAGCCAAGGAUUGGAUUUAAAUAAAUCAGGCCAGCAAAGUUGGAAAGACUGGAUAAAAGUGAUGAUAAUGUCUAAUGUUCGAAUGGUUGCUAGGUUACAGCUUAUGCACAACUAAGAGAUGGUCAUGAUAUUCUAUGCAGUUAGUUGCUGUGGUGUUUUCUCAGCUUAUCAGAUAGUUGAAUAGCUGCCGGAGCUGCUUGGUUGUUGCCGGGUAAUUGUGAGGUUGAACUAAACUGCGCUGACAGAAUGUAUGAAUGUACAGUCUUGUGAAAAAGAAUUUGUCCAGAAAUCUUCCAUUUUGGCAUAUUUCUCGUACUGACAUGUUUCAGAUCAUCAAAAUAACAUCAUUUGUACUGAAUAUGAUACAGAUACAAUCCACAACCCAUGAUGUUUCAUUCAACCUAAUAAAUGGUUUGGCAGCAACAACUGAAAUUAAAUAUUUGUUCCAGUUUGUGAUCAGCCUUUUACAUCUCAAUGGAGGAAUUCUGGUCCUCUCUUCUCUGCAGAAUAGUUUUAAUUUGGUCACAUUAGAUGGUUUUAGAUCAGGAACUGCCCAUUUAAGGCCUUGCCACAGCAUCUCAGUUGGUCCAGAGUUAGACUCGGCUACUCCAAAACCUUGACUUUGUUCUCUUUCAGCCACUCAGAGGUGGACUUGCUUGUGGUCUUUGGGUCACUAUCUUGCUGCAUAAACCGUUGUGUUGAAGUUCAGGUCAUGAACUGAUGGUGGAUGUUCUCCAGGAGAAUUUUCUAAAAGAGAGCAGAAUUCAUGGCUCCAUCAGUGAUGACAAGUCAUCCUGAUGAAUGCAGUAUGAGCUUUACACUAGAUGGAACAGACCCAUGGCUUUCAAAAAAUUCCACCUUUGACUCAUCAGUCAAUAGAAAGUUAUCCCAAAACUUUUGGAGCUCUUCGAGUUAUGUUUUUGUAAAUACCAAAGGAGCCUUUAUGUUCUCUUUGGUCAGUAGUGGUUUGAUUCUUCCAACUCUCCCAUGGAUCCAUUUCCUCCCAGAGUCUUCCUUAUUGUGGAAUCAUGUAGAUGGACCUUAACUGAGGCCAGUGAGGUCUGCAGAUCUUUAGAUGUUCUUCUGUAUUCUUUUGUGACCUUCUGGAUAUCG